UGAAUAUAAAAGAAUAAUUGAAAUGAACCUGGUUAGUUGUAACGCCCUCGAUGCGGCUAUAUCUCCCACGUGUCGAAACAUGACUUAGAGGCAUAACCGCAUUGAAAGCAAUGUCGCAAGUGAGGUAAUCUUCACACAACCCAUGUAAUACAUAAGGGAAAGAGAUACAUAGUUGGCUUACAAUCGCCACUUCACACAAAUACAUGAAUAAAGCAUUACAUCAUUCAAAUACAAUCAGGGCCCGACUAUGGAGCCAAAAUAAAAGAAGACUACCCCAAAUGCUACACAGAUCCCCAAUCGUCCCGACUGGGAUCCACUACUGAUCAACUAGAACGAAACAACACCAAGGACAAGAUCUUCAUCGAGCCCCUCCUUGAGCUUGGUUGCGUCACCUACACGGUUCAAUGACACCUGCAAACUGGUUUUGGAAGUAUCUGUGAGUCACGGGGACUCAGCAAUCUCGCACCCUCGCGAUCAAGACUAUUCAAGCUUAUGGGUAAGGUAAAGGUAUGAGGUAGAGCUGCAACAAGCGACUAUCAUAUAUGGUGGCUAACCUAUUCGCAAAAGAGAGCAAGAAAAGAAGGCAAAAGCACGGUUGAACAACUAUGAUCAAGAAGUGAUCCUAGAGCAACCUACGUCAAGCAUAACUCCAACACCGUGUUCACUUCCCGGACUCCUCCAGAAAAAGACCAUCACGGUUACACACGCGGUUGAUGUAUUUUAAUUAAGGGCAACUUCAGGUUUUCUACAAUUGGACAUUAACAAAUUCCCAUCUGCCCAUAACCGCGGGCACGGCUUUCGAAAGUUCAUAACCCUACAGGGGUGUCCCAACUUAGCCCAUCACAAGCUCUCACGGUCAAUGAAGGAUAUUCCUUCUAGCGGGAAGACCUGAUCAGACUCGGAAUCCCGGUUACAAGACAUUUCGACAAUGAUAAAACAAAUCCAGCAACACCGCCCGAAUGUGCCGACAAAUCCCGAUAGGAGCUGCACAUAUCUCGUUGUCAGGGCACACUCAGAUUGUCUAAACUUUCGGUAGGCCAGCCCAGAGUUUCCCCUGGUGGCCACCGGCGGCUGACAAGGUGGACCAACACUCAGAGGAGCACUGGCCCCGGGGUUAAAUAAAGAUGACCCUUGAGUCCGCGGAACCCAAGGGAAAACGAGGCUAGGUGGCAAAUGGUAAAACCAAUGUUGGGCAUUGCUGGAAGAGUUUUAUUCAGGCGAACUGUCAAGGGGUUCCCAUUAUUACCCAACCACGUAAGGAACGCAAAAUCCGGGAACAUAACACCGAUAUGAUGAAAACUAGGGCGGCAAGAGUGGAACAAAACACCAGGCAUAAGGCCGAGCCUUCCACCCUUUACCAAGUAUAUAGAUGCAUUAAUUAAAUAGGAGAUAUUAUGAUAUCCCAACAAGUAAACAUGUUCCAAUAAGGAACAACAUCUCCAUGUUCCAACAGGGAACAAACUUCAAUCUUCACUUGCAACUAACAACGCUAUAAGAGGGGCUGAGCAAAGCAGUAACAUAGCCAAACAACGGUUUGCUGGGACAAGGUGGGUUAGAGGCUUGGUUCAACAAUAUAGGAGACAUGAUAAGUAAGUGGUAGGUAUCGCAGCAUAGGCAUAGCAAAAGGGCGAGCAACUAGCAAGCAAAGAUAGAAGUGAUUUCGAGGGUAUGGUCAUCUUGCCUGAGAUCCCGCAAGGAAGAAGAAUGAGUCCAUGAAGAAGACAAAUGGACGUAGUCGAACGGUUCCUCACAAACGCGACGUAAUCGGAACCAACCUGAAGAAGCAACACCGGAAAGGAGCAAACACCAUAGUAAACAACCAACACAUCAACAUGGCACGAUGCGCAAACAAGUAUGAUGCAUGUCCGGUUUAAUGAAGCAUGGCAUGGCAAAGUGCACAAACAAUCCUACAAAUUAAGUGGAGCUCAUUAUGCAACUCCGUUGCAUAUUGACGAAACAUCACAUUUGGUUAUUGAGUUCAAUCUCGUUUAUGUACUCAAUAAUAUUAAAUGUUGUUGAACAUGGCAAGAGAGUGAAGCAAAUGAAAACUACCUAUCUAGGCAAGUUUAAAUGAGGCCGGAAACAACGAACAACAAUUCCGGAAACUCCUCAUAUGCAUAUAUUAGGUUUGGUACUGUUCUGCCCUAAACAUAAUUUUAGAGUUGUUAAACAUGCUAGAUGAGUGCAACAUGUUAACCUAGGCAAAAUUCUACCCCAUUUGCAUAUAAAGUUUAUUAAAAUCCGAGCUACGGUUAUUUAGUUAUGAAUUAAAGCAUUUUAACAUGGCAUAGGAGCAAAUUAUAUGCAAGCAACAUUUUAAACAUUCUAAACCUGGAUGAAAAUGACAUAUUAUGAAACUAGAUGGAAAACUAAGCAUAUUUCAUAUAUAAUUCAUUUUAAUCCGAUGCAUGAAUUGUGAGUUAUUAUAUGCAUGUUGUGCAAGGGUUUUUUUGUAAAUCUGUUUUCUCUGAAAAAAAGACAAAUUCACAGAUCCUGAAAAAAAACAUCAACGGGCUGAAACUGCGCGGACUGGGCUGCUCACAUUGGGCUUGAGGGGGCACUGGGCAUCUGGGCUGCGAGCGAAGCAGAGGAGCUGGGCCUUGGCCUGAUCUAGAGGCGCGCUGGGCCAAGCAUGGUCAAAGCGAGGCGAGGCAGGCGAACGAGCUCCUGCCUGUUACUGCAGGUAGAGCAACGACAACAACAGGUUCAGGCAAACGGCAGCGAGAACGUCUCCGGCAACAUGGGACUUGGCGCGAAGCUGGAGAGGAGGCCGACUGUGGACGCUGCGGAUCCGUGCAGCCCGAGGGUCGGGGAGGCGGUUGCCGGCGACGAGGGACUCCGGUGAUGGCGUUGCUCAAUCAAACAGAGCAGGCAGCAGUGGGAUCGAGGAGGGGCGAAGCAGCGGAAGGGGUCGAGCUUGUUCUGGCCGGAUCCGAGGCGAUUGGCGGUGAUGGACUCCUUCGGAGCUCCACUCCGGUGCGUGGCACGCCCAUGGCCGGCGUCGAUGGCAGCAGUGGUGGCUUGAAGCCUGCAUCCAUGGCGGGUCCUGUGAUAGUCGAACAGAGGAAGUUUGAGGGGCCAGAGAAGGGGAUGAAAGAAGAAAGGAGGAGGGGGCGCGGCAGAGGGGCCUGCUGAAGGUGGUCGCCGGCGGUGUGGUUCGCCGGGGUGGCGGAUCGCGAGGAGGAGCGCUCAGGCGCUGUUGCUCCUCCCCUCAUGGAGCUCCUGGAUGAGGAGGGCUACGGGAGCACGGGCGCGGGGCCGGUUGGCGCGUUCGCUGGCGAGGGUGGAGGCGUUGGAUCCUGUCACGGGAGGUCGCCGGGGACCCGUUCCCUGCCGGAUCGAAGCAGAGGCGAGCCGACGAACUUGGAGCUCCAUGGCGCGGGGUGAGGUGCGCUGCUGCGCUGGUGGACCAAGUGGAGUGCUGGCUUUCGGCGGUGUGGUGAUCUUGGAGGAGCUCGAGGUGGGAGGUGCUCGGUGGUCGGGGACGAUGAUUGGCCGUGAUUUGGUAGGGUGGCGCUGAAAUUGAGGAGAAGUUGGGGAUCGAGAGGUGGUGUCUGGUUGGUGCGAAGGGGAACCCGAGGUGGGAGAAAGACAGUGGCGGCGGCGGAGGAUUUGAUGGAUG
Molecule: long non-coding RNA, 3622 nt
Filed under: Triticum aestivum (bread wheat)
Lineage: Eukaryota; Viridiplantae; Streptophyta; Magnoliopsida; Poales; Poaceae
Description: long non-coding RNA (TAES_LNC021086)
Source: RNAcentral